Long non-coding RNA from Spinacia oleracea (spinach), 1695 nucleotides. RefSeq lists it as uncharacterized. The record is from RefSeq and is a predicted model, not a curated record. NCBI's taxonomy places the organism in Eukaryota, Viridiplantae, Streptophyta, Magnoliopsida, Caryophyllales, Amaranthaceae. The transcript is spliced from 4 exons.
ACUCAUUUUCCCUCCAUUACCUUUCAGUCCCUCAGUCCUCCCACUCCAACAGGACCUUACUCUUCAUGAGUUUUCUCUCUCCGGCAGAAUGACCGCUCUCUCCUCAUUCCACCACCAUAUGAUGUCACUCUCCGCCGCGCUCUCUGCUCGGUUACUGUCUCUAUCUUUCUAUCACCAAUCCGACACCGGCGGAGGAGAAUCUCGUACCGUCAUAUCCUACCACCACCACCCCUCAUUUUAUGCAAUUGGAAGGUGUUCUGUAGAUCCAUAUUGCACCACUCUCCAGAACCAGAUUAAUUGCAGGGCUACUGGCCACUUUAAACAGGCUAAUUAAAUUUGCUGUCGCUCCUUGUCACUCUAAUGCAUCAGUUUCUCAAGAAUUAUUAGGGUGCAGAAUCUUCAGAAUUUGGCAUUAGUGCAAACUCUGCUUCCCACUGAAUAUGAGAGAUGUUUCUUUCUUUCCUUUCAAAUGGGAGUUUGGAUGGCAGGAAUUUGGUGAAUCUAUUUCGCGUUCUCCUCCGUGAUGACAUAUAUUGCAAGGCUACUGGACAAAUUUUAUGGAAACUGACUUCACAGAUUUGUAAGUUCUAAGUAUUCGGUAAUUUUACCUGCAUUAACAGAUUGUAAGAUUUUCAUUGUACAUCUCUUCAUAUGCAUCUUUAAUUCGAUAAGAUCACAGAUUAAGAUCAUGUAGAUGAUGAUAGUAAUGAAUGUGGUGGAUCUUGCCCAAUAUAAAUGCAAGGGGUCGAGGUUUGAAACUUCAAAUCUCUUGUUUAAUACAAGUGCACUCAAUCAACGCAUCACAACAAAGAGUUUGUAUGUACGGAGUACAUUUUAGGUGACAUUUGGCGCCGGGCUUCGACCAAACCCUGAUGGAAGACUAUUGGAAGACUAGAUGAUGAUAGUAAUGAAUGUGGUGGAUCUUGCCCAAUAUAAAUGCAAGGGGCCGAGGUUUGAAACUUCAAAUCUCUUGUUUAAUACAAGUGCACUCGAUCAACGCAUCACAACAAAGAGUUUGUAUGUACGGAGUACAUUUUAGGUGACAUUUGGCGCCGGGCUUCGACCAAACCCUGAUGGAAGACUAUUGUAAACCAGGGGCCCACACGUAAGUUUUUGCUAUUAUAAUUCGUGAAAUCUGAAUUGAGUUCGGUGGUCACAUAAAAUUAGAUAAGAUAUGACAUUAAGAUGAUGCGAAAUAUAAGAUAAGAUGAUAAAUAAGUUGAAAUAAUAUUACUCCCUCCGUCCCGGAAUACUCGACCCGGUUUGACCGGCACAGAGUUUAAGGGAUUUGAAUUGACUUAUUUAAUUUAAUAGGUAGUAGUUGAUAGUGGGGUAUUAUUUUAAUGUAGUUAGUGGGAGGUGGGUUAAGAGGUGGGGUUGGGGGAGAGUAGGGGUUGAAUUUUUAAUUAUUUUUUGUAUGGAGUAGGGGGUAGGUGGGUUAAUAGGGGUGGAGUGAGAAAUAAUAUAAUAUUGUUAGAAUAUUUCCAUUUUUAGAAACAGGUCAAGUAUUAAGGGACGGCCCGAUAAGGAAAACAGGUCAAGUAUUCCGGGACGGAGGGAGUAUGAAAUUUCUUACAAAGAUAAUUUUACUGAUAUGUAUAGUAUGACAAUCAUUACCUAAUCAAGGUUUAAUCACAAAUUGUGGCACCUUAUAAAGGGGUAUAAAUGAAUAAUUAAGUUCUCUAAACUUAAUUU